UACGUAGGGUGCAAGCGUUGUCCGGAAUCAUUGGGCGUAAAGGGCGCGUAGGUGGCCCGGUCAGUUCGUGGUGAAAGCGCGGGGCUCAACCCUGCGUCGGCCAUGAAUACUGCCGCGGCUGGAGCACUGUAGAGGCAGGCGGAAUUCCGGGUGUAGCGGUGGAAUGCGUAGAGAUCCGGAAGAACACCGGUGGCGAAGGCGGCCUGCUGGGCAGUUGCUGACACUGAGGCGCGACAGCGUGGGGAGCAAACAGG
RNAcentral lists this ribosomal RNA (254 nucleotides) under uncultured bacterium. Its description in RNAcentral is "partial 16S ribosomal RNA". It matches the Rfam family "Bacterial small subunit ribosomal RNA", at positions 524 to 776 of the family's 1533-position model. The record is from RNAcentral.